AUGCACGCUGGCGGCGUGCCUAAUCCAUGCCAGUCGAGCGAACAGACGAGGAGCUUGCUCCUCUGACGUUAGCGGCGGACGGGUGAGUAACACGUGGAUAACCUACCUAUAAGACUGGGAUAACUUCGGGAAACCGGAGCUAAUACCGGAUAAUAUAUUGAACCGCAUGGUUCAAUAGUGAAAGACGGUUUUGCUGUCACUUAUAGAUGGAUCCGCGCCGCAUUAGCUAGUUGGUAAGGUAACGGCUUACCAAGGCAACGAUGCGUAGCCGACCUGAGAGGGUGAUCGGCCACACUGGAACUGAGACACGGUCCAGACUCCUACGGGAGGCAGCAGUAGGGAAUCUUCCGCAAUGGGCGAAAGCCUGACGGAGCAACGCCGCGUGAGUGAUGAAGGUCUUCGGAUCGUAAAACUCUGUUAUUAGGGAAGAACAAAUGAGUAAGUAACUAUGCACGUCUUGACGGUACCUAAUCAGAAAGCCACGGCUAACUACGUG
Molecule: ribosomal RNA, 496 nt
Filed under: uncultured bacterium
Lineage: Bacteria
Description: partial 16S ribosomal RNA
Rfam family: Bacterial small subunit ribosomal RNA
Source: RNAcentral